CUGUAGUUUAGAAAUACCAACAGAAUUUAUGUAACGAUCUAGUCCACUAACACUAAUAAUGUGUUAGAUUCAAACCGCCAGUCGCAAAUACUUAAGCUUAAUUGGUAUUAUAUUCUAGAGUCUCUGAUCUUUAUAUUUCUAAUUAGGCUAAAUUACAAAAAAUCUCUCAGUCAAUACUUGAUUUUUUUACUUUCUCCCAUGUCAUUCAAAAAUAUAUAUUUUGUCUCCUUAAAAAAUAAAAAAUGUUAACUUUGAUCCUCGCCGUCAGUGUUUCGUUAGGAUUCUAUUUAUGUACUAUUUUUUAUACCCAAAAUACCUCUAAAAUUCUCCUCCUUCCUCAUCCUCGGUCACGCCGCCUCGCACUCACCCACUUCUCUGUCCAUGCCCACACACACGCUCUCGCCCACUUUUGCCACCUCACCCUCGCUCUCGCCCACCUCUCCAUCUGCGCCCACUCCAAAGAAGAUGAGGAUAAUUUGGUUAUUUUGUUGCAGCGUAUCUUUCUGUGAAUAUUUUUUAUUUUUCAAGAAGGCAAAGUGUAAGUUUUUAUAUGACAGGAAAGAAAAAUAAAAAAACGGAUAUUGACGGAAAGUUUUAUGUAAGUUAGCCUAUUU
RNAcentral lists this long non-coding RNA (614 nucleotides) under Ananas comosus (pineapple). RNAcentral's name for it is "long non-coding RNA (ACOM_LNC012971)". Lineage: Eukaryota; Viridiplantae; Streptophyta; Magnoliopsida; Poales; Bromeliaceae. The record is from RNAcentral.